GAUGAACGCUGGCGGCGUGCCUAAUACAUGCAAGUCGAGCGAACGGACGAGAAGCUUGCUUUUCUGAUGUUAGCGGCGGACGGGUGAGUAACACGUGGAUAACCUACCUAUAAGACUGGGAUAACUUCGGGAAACCGGAGCUAAUACCGGAUAAUAUUUUGAACCGCAUGGUUCAAAAGUGAAAGACGGUCUUGCUGUCACUUAUAGAUGGAUCCGCGCUGCAUUAGCUAGUUGGUAAGGUAACGGCUUACCAAGGCAACGAUGCAUAGCCGACCUGAGAGGGUGAUCGGCCACACUGGAACUGAGACACGGUCCAGACUCCUACGGGAGGCAGCAGUAGGGAAUCUUCCGCAAAGGGCGAAAGCCUGACGGAGCAACGCCGCGUGAGUGAUGAAGGUCUUCGGAUCGUAAAACUCUGUUAUUAGGGAAGAACAUAUGUGUAAGUAACUGUGCACAUCUUGACGGUACCUAAUCAGGAAGCCACGGCUAACUACGUG
This 497-nucleotide ribosomal RNA is filed under the name uncultured bacterium. Its description in RNAcentral is "partial 16S ribosomal RNA". It matches the Rfam family "Bacterial small subunit ribosomal RNA", at positions 28 to 507 of the family's 1533-position model. The record is from RNAcentral.